GAUGAACGCUGGCGGCGUGCCUAAUACAUGCAAGUCGAGCGAACGGACGAGACACUUGCUUCUCUGAUGUUAGCGGCGGACGGGUGAGUAACACGUGGAUAACCUACCUAUAAGACUGGGAUAACUUCGGGAAACCGGAGCUAAUACCGGAUAAUAUUUUGAACCGCAUGGUUCAAAAGUGAAAGACGGUCUUGCUGUCACUUAUAGAUGGAUCCGCGCUGCAUUAGCUAGUUGGUAAGGUAACGGCUUACCAAGGCAACGAUGCAUAGCCGACCUGAGAGGGUGAUCGGCCACACUGGAACGGAGACACGGUCCAGACUCCUACGGGAGGCAGCAGUAGGGAAUCUUCCGCAAUGGGCGAAAGCCUGACGGAGCAACGCCGCGUGAGUGAUGAAGGUCUUCGGAUCGUAAAACUCUGUUAUUAGGGAAGAACAUAUGUGUAAGUAACUGUGCACAUCUUGACGGUACCUAAUCAGAAAGCCACGGCUAACUACGUG
Molecule: ribosomal RNA, 497 nt
Filed under: uncultured bacterium
Lineage: Bacteria
Description: partial 16S ribosomal RNA
Rfam family: Bacterial small subunit ribosomal RNA
Source: RNAcentral